UCCAGUUUUGAAAGUUUCUCU
This 21-nucleotide non-coding RNA is filed under the name Caenorhabditis elegans. Lineage: Eukaryota; Metazoa; Nematoda; Chromadorea; Rhabditida; Rhabditidae. The record is from RNAcentral.